UCAAAACAUCUGCACACACUUCCUUUCUCCUGUCACAUACAUCACUGUCUAAGUAUUUUGCCUACUUAUUUGCUUAUUGUCUGUCUCCCCACUGGAACCGAAGAUCCUUGAGGGCAGGGUCUUCUCUGUUUGGGUCCCUGCUGGAUCCCAGCGCCCAGGACCAUGCUGGCCUCCCGCGGGUGCCCAGCACACUCUUGCAGGAACAGCUGUCGUGUGAGAUGGGCAGAGUCUGAGACCCACUUCACACGUAAGGUUUCGGAAGCCCCAUGGCUCCUCUGAAGAUCUGCUCUGUAUCAUCCCCAAAUCCUCAUUUGACAAGGUAGAUGCUCUUUUGGAUGGAAGAGGAAGCUGCACUAAGAGUUUCUAGAAGUUUACCUCUGCAGCAACAUUUGGCCCACCAAAGAAAGUUGCCGGCUGCGCUGGAUGCGGGCCACUCUCGCUGCUGCCGCGGAGCGCGGCGCACAGACGGCCGGCUGGGAGCGCGGGGCGCGGGCCGCGGGGCACCCCUGCCCGGCCGCGGCAGCUGAUCCCGCCCCGCUGUGCACCCCACCUCAGUCCCAGGCUCCCGUGACCUGGGAGUAAUCAUGUGGCUUUCUUGAAAAGCUGGUAGUAAUUCGGGGUGAGACUGGGGGGUCAGCCCAGGAGGAAGUUGAAACUUUGACCCUUUCCCCCAUUCUAAAUGCAAACUCUCUCCCCGCCUCCUGCGAGGGGGCGACACAAAAUCCCCUCAGCGGCUCUCCCCGGUGGCCUCACUCCUUCCUCAAGGCUCUGAGAAGUCUUCUCUUGCCUCUCCAAAGCUCGCCUCUCAAGGGGCAGCGGUCACUGAGUGGGCUUCGGGGGAUCUGUGGAGAGAAAGGAGGGGUUCCCACUCCUCAGUCAGCAUCGGGAGGCCAGAGCAUGGGGCCAUACCAACAUCGUGAGGAGCCUUUGGGGAGGCCCCGCUGGCGGCCAGAGGGGGUUGUCCAAUGCUGAGAAAGGCUACCAACGUGAAGACUCUGAACUCAGAGCUGGGAAGAGAUGCACCCACAAGCAUGAACUGACGCAGCUCCGCGGGAGCAGAGCCGGGAAAGGAACCUAGAUUCAGGACUCUGCCCACUGCGCCAGACCACACCUCGCUGUCCUCUUAGCAGAAAUCAUGACCACGCAGUUCAGGGCUGAGCCCCACACUCUGGUGCUUUUGACCACAGCCAGAACGAAAUCAGAAAUCAGACUGAGUCCUUAGGAAUGUGGUAUGACUGGGGAAGCACCUGAGGGCCCAAGCCCCUGCACUUGUGUCCUUUGAGGGGAAAGUGGAAGAGGUGAGAGAAUGAUUCUGAGAACUAUGGGUGGAGUCUUGGCAAACUUCAGAGGCCAAAGAGAAGACAUUUAUGCCAGCUGGCCUUGGACGAUUGUAACCAGAAACGCUGUGGUGGUAUUGUGAUUGGGUGGAAGGCAGAGUGAGGUCAUGCUGGGAGAAGUGGGACAAAGAGGAGGGCAUGCUUCAUCUUUUUUGCAUUUCCUUCAGGGCUAACUUAAGAAAACAGCAAAAAUUAAGUUCACAUGAAAAUCACUUUAAAAAACAAAAGAAGUAUCUGCUAAGAGCCUCCAAAACUCUGGGAUUCUAGAGACAGCUGUUGUUUGGAGACGUUCCCUUGCAAGGAGUUCAGGCCUCUGCUGGUCCUUCCUUGUUCAGCACUCCAGUUCACAGAAUCAUAAAAUUAUAGGGUUUAUUUUAGAGAUGAGAAAAACCUGAGGCCCAGAGAGGUGACAUAAUUUGCCCAAGAUUGCGCCACUAUUUAUUAGGUCAGCAGCAGCUAGAAUUCAAAUUUCCUAGGUCUAGUCUAGCCUUGGAUCUUAAUGUAGAUCCCUAGACAUUAAAAAGUAUGUCUCUAAGUUAUCUUUUGUUAAAAAUUAUUGUAAUAGAAAUGCAUGGCUAUAAUAGAAAAUCUGUAAGGUAUAGAACAUUAAAAAAUGACAAUAAAAAUGACCAUUACGGGGCCAGCCCCUCGGUGUAGUGCUUGGGCUUGGCAUGCUCUGCUUUGGCAGCCCAGGUUCUCAAGUUCAGAUCCCAGACGCAGACCUACACUGCUCGUCAGCCAUGCUGUGGCGGUGACCCACAUAUAAAGUGGAAGAAGAUUGGCACAGGUCUAAUCUUCCUCAGCAAAAAGAAAAAAGAAAAGAAAAGAAAAAAGACCAUUAUGCUGCCACUCAAUCACUGUGAAUCAUGUAUGCUUGCUCCCACCUAGACCAGUGGUUCUCAGCCUCACUGCAUAGUAGUGUCAUCAGGAGGCCUUGUAAAAAUCUCUAUGAAGGGUUGAAAAAUCCCAAUGUCCAGGUUGUACUCCUAAGGAAUUAGAUGAGAAUCUUGGGGUUGGGGGCAGCAAGCAUCAGUAUUAUUUGAAGCUCCUCAGAUGAUGCAAGUGUGCGCCCAAGGUUGAAGACCACUGGACUAGAAUAUUCUCCUCCCAUAUCUUUGCAUAGCUGGCUCCUUCCCAUUGGUCACUUCUCAGUGUUAGCUCCUCAGAGUGGCCUGUCCUCACCACUGCUCCUAAAGCAGUUCCCUCCCAUCCAGUCAUCCUCGAUCCCGACCCUUUUUGAUGUUCUUUGUGGUCUGUAUCAUUAUUUGAAAUUAUCUUAAAUGGAUGCAGGUAUCUGUUUGUUUUCCAUCUCCCUCCUUUAGCAAGUAAGUCCACGGAGGUGGGCCCCUUAACUGUCUUCUUCAUAGCUGUAACCCAAUGCCCUUGCAGUCCCAGGAGCUGGAGGCCCCCGAAACGCAUUUGAUGAAUGAGUGAACGGAUUUAUGGUUACUUCUUCAUCUUUCUUCAUGUGUAUGUAAACAUAUGCAUAUACUUAUAUAUACACAUACACAUGCAACAAAAUUGUGUGUUUUAAAAAUAUAUUUCAGGGACUGGCCUGGUGGUGUAGUGGUUGGGUUCGUGUGCUCCCUUCAGCCGCCCAGGGUUCUCAGGUUCCCAGGCACAGACUUGCACAACGCUCAUCAAGCCAUACUGUGGCGGUGUCCCACAUACAAAAAAGUAGGUGGCAUAGAUGUUAGCUCAGGGACAGUCUUCCUCAAGCAAAAAGAGGAAGAUCGGCAACAGUUGUUAGCUCAGGGCCAAUCUUCUUCACCAGAAAAAAAAUGUAUAUAUAUAAAUAUGUAUACUUCAGAGCCAGCCUUGAUGAUCUAGUGGUUAAAGUUCGGCGUUCUCAUUGUUUUGAUGUCUGGGGUUUGUUUCCUGGUCAUGGAACCACACCACCCGUCUGUUGGUUGCCAUGCUGUGGCAGCAGCUCACAAAGAAGAACUAGAAGGACUUACAACUAGGAUAUACAACCAUGCACUGGGCCUUUGGGGAGAGAAAAAAAAAGAGGAUUGGCAACAGACGUUAGCUUAGGG
Equus caballus (horse) is the source of this 3373-nucleotide long non-coding RNA. Lineage: Eukaryota; Metazoa; Chordata; Mammalia; Perissodactyla; Equidae. The record is from Ensembl.